AGUGAACGCUGGCGGCAGGCCUAAUACAUGCAAGUCGAACGGCAGCACAGCAGAGCUUGCUCUGUGGGUGGCGAGUGGCGGACGGGUGAGGAAUACAUGGGAAUCUGCCCAGUCGUGGGGGAUAACGUAGGGAAACUUACGCUAAUACCGCAUGCGCCCUUCGGGGGAAAGCCGGGGACCUUCGGGCCUGGCGCGAUUGGAUGAGCCCAUGUCGGAUUAGCUAGUUGGCGGGGUAAUGGCCCACCAAGGCGACGAUCCGUAGCUGGUCUGAGAGGAUGAUCAGCCACACUGGAACUGAGACACGGUCCAGACUCCUACGGGAGCAGCAGUAGGGAAUAUUGGACAAUGGGCGCAAGCCUGAUCCAGCCAUGCCGCGUGAGUGAAGAAGGCCCUCGGGUUGUAAAGCUCUUUUGUCCGGAAAGAAAAGCGCCGGGUUAAUACCCUAGUGUCCUGACGGUACCGGAAGAAUAAGCACCGGCUAACUUCGUGCCAGC
Molecule: ribosomal RNA, 494 nt
Filed under: uncultured bacterium
Lineage: Bacteria
Description: bacterial SSU rRNA
Rfam family: Bacterial small subunit ribosomal RNA
Source: RNAcentral